Molecule: non-coding RNA, 45 nt
Filed under: Schistosoma margrebowiei
Lineage: Eukaryota; Metazoa; Platyhelminthes; Trematoda; Strigeidida; Schistosomatidae
Source: RNAcentral
AUCCAGUUGACGAGUCCCGGAAAGAACGAAGCGCACGUCCUGGAU